CGGAGGAUAAAUACGAGUGAGGGCCUCUGGGUCAACCUCACCGUGUUUAUUUUACUUGUUGCUUCGGCGGGCGCUUAACGGCGCGGGGGGCUCAGCCCGGGCCGCGCCGCCGAAACACCUCGACUCUGUCUGAAGAUUGUAGUCUGAGUGAAAAUAUAAAUUAUUUAAAACUUUCACAACGGAUCUCUUGGUUCGGCAUCGAUGAAGAACGCAGCGAAAUGCGAUACGUAAUGUGAAUUGCAAAUUCAGUGAAUCAUCGAGUCUUUUGAACGCACAUUGCGCCCUGGGUUAUUCGGGGGGGCAUGCCUGUCGAGCGUCAUUGCCUGCCUCCAGCACGGCUGUGGUGUUUGGGGCCCCGUCUUCCGAUCCGGAGGGACGGGCCGAAAGGGCAGCGCGCCCCGCGUCGGUUCUUCUAACGUAUGGGGCUUUGUCACCCGCUCUGUAGUCCGCCGGCCUUGCGAUAACGAAUUUUAUCAGGUGACUCGGAACAGUAGGGAUCGCCUGACUAAGCAUUACUAGCGGAGG
RNAcentral lists this ribosomal RNA (525 nucleotides) under Penicillium lanosum. RNAcentral describes it as "eukaryotic LSU rRNA". The stretch from base 168 to 319 matches the Rfam family "5.8S ribosomal RNA". The record is from RNAcentral. Lineage: Eukaryota; Fungi; Ascomycota; Eurotiomycetes; Eurotiales; Aspergillaceae.